This 714-nucleotide ribosomal RNA is filed under the name Klebsiella variicola. Its description in RNAcentral is "partial 23S ribosomal RNA". It matches the Rfam family "Bacterial large subunit ribosomal RNA", at positions 569 to 1284 of the family's 2925-position model. Lineage: Bacteria; Pseudomonadati; Pseudomonadota; Gammaproteobacteria; Enterobacterales; Enterobacteriaceae. The record is from RNAcentral.
AGCAGUGGGAGCACCUUCGGGUGUGACUGCGUACCUUUUGUAUAAUGGGUCAGCGACUUAUAUUCUGUAGCAAGGUUAACCGUAUAGGGGAGCCGCAGGGAAACCGAGUCUUAACUGGGCGUUAAGUUGCAGGGUAUAGACCCGAAACCCGGUGAUCUAGCCAUGGGCAGGUUGAAGGUUGGGUAACACUAACUGGAGGACCGAACCGACUAAUGUUGAAAAAUUAGCGGAUGACUUGUGGCUGGGGGUGAAAGGCCAAUCAAACCGGGAGAUAGCUGGUUCUCCCCGAAAGCUAUUUAGGUAGCGCCUCAUGAACUCAUCUUCGGGGGUAGAGCACUGUUUCGGCUAGGGGGUCAUCCCGACUUACCAACCCGAUGCAAACUACGAAUACCGAAGAAUGUUAUCACGGGAGACACACGGCGGGUGCUAACGUCCGUCGUGAAGAGGGAAACAACCCAGACCGCCAGCUAAGGUCCCAAAGUCAUGGUUAAGUGGGAAACGAUGUGGGAAGGCACAGACAGCCAGGAUGUUGGCUUAGAAGCAGCCAUCAUUUAAAGAAAGCGUAAUAGCUCACUGGUCGAGUCGGCCUGCGCGGAAGAUGUAACGGGGCUAAACCAUGCACCGAAGCUGCGGCAGCGACGCUUAUGCGUUGUUGGGUAGGGGAGCGUUCUGUAAGCCUGCGAAGGUGGCCUGUGAGGGCUGCUGGAGGUAUCA